GAUGAAGAACGUAGCGAAAUGCGAUACUUGGUGUGAAUUGCAGAAUCCCGUGAACCAUCGAGUCUUUGAACGCAAGUUGCGCCCGAAGCCACUAGGCCGAGGGCACGCCUGCCUGGACGUCACACGUCGUUGACCCCCCCCCAUCUACUCCUUCGGGAUUGCGGGGGGCGGAUGAUGGCCUCCCGUGCGCCUAGCCGCGCGGUUGGCAUAAAUACCAAGUCCUCGGCGACGCACGCCACGACAAUCGGUGGUUGCGAAACCUCGGUUGCCCGUCGUGUGCGUUCGUCGCGCAUCGAGGGCUCGAAAAAAUGCUCGGCUCCGGCUCGGCUUUCAACGCGACCCCAGGUCAGGCGGGGUUACCCGCUGAAUUUAAGCAUAUCAAUAAGCGGAGGA
This 393-nucleotide unclassified non-coding RNA is filed under the name soil metagenome. RNAcentral's name for it is "partial contains 5.8S ribosomal RNA, internal transcribed spacer 2, and large subunit ribosomal RNA". The stretch from base 1 to 122 matches the Rfam family "5.8S ribosomal RNA", at positions 35 to 154 of the family's 154-position model. The record is from RNAcentral.